This 1087-nucleotide unclassified non-coding RNA is filed under the name Bombyx mandarina (wild silkworm). RNAcentral describes it as "transcription factor A, mitochondrial, transcript variant X3". Lineage: Eukaryota; Metazoa; Arthropoda; Insecta; Lepidoptera; Bombycidae. The record is from RNAcentral.
AUGACUACUUAUACUCAAUUACAGCGCCUUAGUAAUUAUUUUUUAGGGAAUUACAAGACUGUUCUAUGCGGAAGAGUAAAUUGGAUAACGCCAAUACAAUCAUGUGACUAUACAAAAAAAUCUGCAGAGCAGAGGUUGGGCCUGAACAAGCCUAAACGACCUCUUACGCCAUUCUUUAAGUUCAUGUCACAAAUGCGACCAGCUCUUCUUGCCAAGAACCCUGGCAUAUCAUCCAAAGAGGCUAUAGCAUGGACGUCGAAACAUUGGCAACAACUUGAUAUGGAGACAAAAACCCAAAUGGCGAAAGAAUAUCAGAAAGAUUUGGAGGAUUACAAUAAAAUUAAAGCAAUGUAUGAGACAUCGUUAACAGAGGAACAAAAGGCAGAUAUAAAAAGAGUUAAAGAAGAAAUGGCACAGGCCAAAGAAAAGAGAAAAUUAAAAGCGGAAUAUAAGGAACUGGGCCGGCCUAAGAAACCAAUGUCUUCAUACUUUAUAUACAUGCAGUCUAGAAAAGAUAAUAUACAAGGAAAAACACUAAAGGAAUAUCAAGAGACAGUCAAGAAAGAUUGGAUAAACUUACCUGAUAGUGAAAAAGCAAAACUGGAGAAGCAAGCACAAACAUUAAUGGAUAAAUAUAAGAAAGAUCUUCAAGCAUGGGAACUAAAAAUGGUUUCAAUUGGUCGGACAGAUCUAGUUAGAUCGAAACCAGCCAAAGAGAAGAAAACCAAAAAAGUUGAUAGUUCACAAUAGGAACUCGGGUGCUCUGAUGAUGCUGAUUCCAUACUUACCGAUUCGCCAAUUGUCGAUAUGAAAUCAGUACAAAGCAUUGAUAAAGAUGUUAAAACUAGUCAAAUAAUUCCACUAAAUUCAGACAGUAUAGGUAAAGAUCAAAGGGAGACAGAUACAAAUCAUCAGAGCACGGGUGACCAAGUUGUGUAUGACAAACAGACUAUAAGUGACAGCACUAAGAACAAAAAAAUGAGGACUCUCAUUUUAAUUGUUUACUAGAAGAUGUAAGGCAGAGAAGCACACAAAUGUUCCAUUCCAACUUUUUAUUUCAAACAUUAAGAAAUAUAUUAAUUAAAAA